AGGAGAGAAUGUGUUAAAUGUGUCUCACUAACACGCACACGAUACACACACACACACAGCUGUGUCAUUGCCUAACCACGGAGUGGCCUGUUCAGCCACAGAGUACACUUCCUCCUUUUUCCUUGGUAGAAAGAGAGAAACUGAGAGAGAGGGAAACAGAGAGAGAGGGAAACAGAGAGAGAGGGAAACAGAGAGAGACAGAGAAAGAGAGAGAAACAGAGGUAGAAAGAGAGAAAAAGAGAGGGAAACAGAGAGAGCGGUAUAAAGAGAGAAACAGAGAGAGAGAGGUAAACAGAGAGAGAGGUAAACAGAGAGAGAGGUAGAAAGAGAGAGAGAGCGAGAGAGAGGUCAACAGAGAGAGAGGUAAACAGAGAGAGAGGUAAACAGAGAGAGAGGUAAACAGAGAGAGAGGUAGAAAGAGAGAGAGAGAGGUCAACAGAGAGAGAGGUAAACAGAGAGAGAGGUAGAAAGAGAGAAACAGAGAGAGAGGGAAACAGAGAGAGAGGUAGAAAGAGAGAAACAGAGAGAAAGGUAAACAGAGAGAGGUAAACAGAGAGAGAGGUAAACAGAGAGAGAGGUAGAAAGAGAGAGAGAGGUCAACAGAGAGAGAGGUCAACAGAGAGAGAGGUAAACAGAGAGAGAGGUAAACAGAGAGAGAGGGAAACAGAGAGAGAGAGAGGUCAACAGAGAGAGAGGGAAACAGAGAGAGAGGUAAACAGAGAGAGAGGUAAACAGAGAGAGAGGUAAACAGAGAGAGAGGGAAACAGAGAGAGAGGGAAACUGAGAGAGGUAGAAAGAGAGAAACAGAGAGAGAGGUAGAAAGAGAGAGAGAGAGAGGUCAACAGAGAGAGAGGGAAACACAGAGAGAGGGAAACUGAGAGAGAGGUAGAAAGAGAGAAACAGAGAGAGAGGGAAACAGAGAGAGAGGUAGAAAGAGAGAAAGAGAGAGAGAGAGGUAAACAGAGCGGUAUAAAGAGAGAAACAGAGAGAGAGGUAAACAGAGAGAGAGGUAUACAGAGAGAGAGGUAGAAAGAGAGAAACAGAGAGAGAGAGAGAUAAACAGAGAGAGAGGUAAACAGAGAGAGAGGUAGAAAGAGAGAGAGAGAGGUCAACAGAGAGAGAGGUAGAAAGAGAGAGAGAGGUAGAAAGAGAGAAACUGAGAGAGAGAGGGAAACAGAGAGAGAGGUAGAAAGAGAGAGAGGGAAACAGAGAGAGAGGGAAACAGAGAGAGAGGUAGAAAGAGAGAGAGGUAAACAGAGAGAGAGGUAGAAAGAGAGAAACAGAGAGAGAGAGUUAAACAGAGAGAGAGGUAAACAGAGAGAGAGGUAAACAGAGAGGUAGAAAGAGAGAGAGAGAGGUCAACAGAGAGAGAGGUAGAAAGAGAGAGAGAGAGGUCAACAGAGAGAGAGGUAAACAGAGAGAGGUAGAAAGAGAGAGGUAGAAAGAGAGAGAGGUAAACAGAGAGGUAGAAAGAGAGAGAGAGAGGUCAACAGAGAGGUAGAAAGAGAGAGAGGUAAACAGAGAGGUAGAAAGAGAGAGAGGUAAACAGAGAGGUAGAAAGAGAGAGAGGUAAACAGAGAGGUAGAAAGAGAGAGAGGUAAAGAGAGAGGUAGAAAGAGAGAGAGGUAAACAGAGAUGUAGAAAGAGAGAGAGGUAAAGAGAGAGGUAGAAAGAGAGAGAGAGAGGUCAACAGAGAGAGAGGUAGAAAGAGAGAGAGAGGUAGAAAGAGAGAGAGAGAGGUCAACAGAGAGAGAGGUAGAAAGAGAGAGAGGUAAAGAGAGAGGUAGAAAGAGAGAGAGAGAGAGGUCAACAGAGAGAGAGGUAGAAAGAGAGAGAGAGGUAGAAAGAGAGAGAGAGAGGUCAACAGAGAGAGAGGUAGAAAGAGAGAGAGGUAAAGAGAGAGGUAGAAAGAGAGAGAGGUAAACAGAGAGGUAGAAAAAGAGAGAGGUAAACAGAGAGGUAGAAAGAGAGGAAAAUACAAAAAAAAACCACUAAAAAUACUUGAAUCGGUCAUAGAGCCCAUUGCCCUUUAUGGUUGUGAGGUCUGGGGUCCGCUCACCAACCAAGACUUCACAAAAUGGGACAAACACCAAAUUGAGACUGCAUGCAGAAUUCUGCAAAAAUAUCCUCUGUGUACAACGUAGAACACCAAAUAAUGCAUGCAGAGUAGAAUUAGGCCGAUACCCACUAAUUAUCAAUAUCCAGAAAAGAGACGUUAAAUUCUACAACCACCUAAAAGGAAGCGAUUCCCAAACCUUCCUCAUCAAAGCCAUCACCUACAGAGAGAUGAACCUGGAGAAGAGUCCCCUAAGCAAGCUGGUCCUGGGGCUCUGUUCACAAACACAAACACACCUCACAGAGCCCCAGGACAGCAGCACAAUUAGACCAACCAACCAAAUCAUGAGAAAACAAAAAUAUAUUUACUUGACACAUUGGAAAUAAUGAACAAAAAAACAGCGCAAACUAGAAUGCUAUUUGGCCCUAAACAGUGGCAGAAUACCUGACCACUGUGACUGACUCAAACUUAAGGAAAGCUUUGACUAUGUACAUACUUAGUGAGCAUAGCCUUGCUAUUGAGAAAGGCCGCCGUAGGCAGACAUGGCUCUCAAGAGAAGACAGGCUAUGUGCUCACUGCCCACAAAAUGAGGUGGAAACUGAGCUGCACUUCCUAACUUCCUGCCCAAUGUAUGACCAUAUUAGAGAUACAUAUUUCCCUCAGAUUACACAGAUCCACAAAGAAUUCGAAAACAAAUCCAAUUUUGAUGAACUCCCAUAUCUACUGGGUGAAAUUCCACAGUGUGCCAUCACAGCAGCAAGAUUUGUGACCUGUUGCCACAAGAAAAGGGCAACCAGUGAAGAACAAACUCCAUUGUAAAUACAACCCAUAUUUAUUCUUAUUUAUUUUCCCUUGUGUACUUUAACCAUUUGUACAUUGUUACAACACUGUAUAUAUAUAUAUAUAUAUAUAUAUAUAUAUAUAAUAUGACAUUUGUAAUGUCUUUAUUGUUUUGAAACUUCUGUAUGUGUAAUGUUUACUGUUAAUUUUUAGUGUUUAUUUCACUUUUGUAUAUUAUCUACCUCACUUGCUUUGGCAAUGUUAACAUAUGUUUCCCAUGCCAAUAAAGCCCCUUGAUUUGAAUUGAAGAGACAGUGAGACAGACAGAGAGAGAGACACAGUGAGACAGACAGAGAGAGAGACACAGUGAGACAGACAGAGAGAGACACAGUGAGACAGAGAGAGAGAGAGAGAGACACAGUGAGACAGACAGAGAGAGAGACACAGUGAGACAGAGAGAGAGAGAGACACACAGUGAGACAGAGAGAGAGAGAGAGAGAGAGACACAGUGAGAGAG
Molecule: long non-coding RNA, 3353 nt
Organism: Oncorhynchus keta (chum salmon)
Lineage: Eukaryota; Metazoa; Chordata; Actinopteri; Salmoniformes; Salmonidae
Exons: 4
Source: RefSeq, a predicted model, not a curated record